Molecule: ribosomal RNA, 683 nt
Filed under: Rathayibacter sp. AY1B7
Lineage: Bacteria; Bacillati; Actinomycetota; Actinomycetes; Micrococcales; Microbacteriaceae
Description: bacterial LSU rRNA
Rfam family: Bacterial large subunit ribosomal RNA
Source: RNAcentral
CAGGGACAGUGCCUGAUGGGUAGUUUAACUGGGGCGGUUGCCUCCCAAAGAGUAACGGAGGCGCCCAAAGGUUCCCUCAACCUGGUUGGCAAUCAGGUGGCGAGUGUAAGUGCACAAGGGAGCUUGACUGUGAGACUGACAAGUCGAGCAGGGACGAAAGUCGGGACUAGUGAUCCGGCAGUGGCUUGUGGAAGCGCUGUCGCUCAACGGAUAAAAGGUACCUCGGGGAUAACAGGCUGAUCUUGCCCAAGAGUCCAUAUCGACGGCAUGGUUUGGCACCUCGAUGUCGGCUCGUCGCAUCCUGGGGCUGGAGUAGGUCCCAAGGGUUGGGCUGUUCGCCCAUUAAAGCGGUACGCGAGCUGGGUUUAGAACGUCGUGAGACAGUUCGGUCCCUAUCCGCUGCGCGCGCAGGAAAUUUGAGAAGAUCUAUCCCUAGUACGAGAGGACCGGGAUGGACGAACCUCUGGUGUGUCAGUUGUUCCGCCAGGAGCACCGCUGAUUAGCUACGUUCGGAACGGAUAACCGCUGAAAGCAUCUAAGCGGGAAGCCGGCUUCGAGAUGAGAUUUCCAUCCCUUCGGGGGAGAGGCUCCCAGCCAGACGACUGGGUUGAUAGGCCGGAUGUGGAAGACAGGACUAAAGACUGUCGGAGCUGACCGGUACUAAUAAGCCGAUAACUUGAUAA